GAUGAACGCUAGCGGAAGGCUUAAUACAUGCAAGUCGAGCGGUAGGUGGCUUCGGCCAUUGAGAGCGGCGCACGGGUGAGUAACGCGUACAUGACCUGCCUGUCAGAAGGGGAUAGCCCUGGGAAACUGGGAUUAAUACCCUAUGGUAUUGAUAUUAUGAAUGAUAUCAACUAAAGUUGAGGCGCUGACAGAUGGAUGUGCGUCUGAUUAGCUAGUUGGUAGGGUAACGGCCUACCAAGGCGACGAUCAGUAGGGGGCGUGAGAGCGUGGUCCCCCACACGGGUACUGAGACACGGACCCGACUCCUACGGGAGGCAGCAGUAAGGAAUAUUGGUCAAUGCCCGCAAGGGUGAACCAGCCAUUCCGCGUGGAGGAUGAAGGCCCUAUGGGUUGUAAACUUCUUUUAGAUGGGAAGAAAUGCUAGAUGUAUCUGGUACUGACGGUACCAUCAGAAUAAGCACCGGCUAACUCCGUGCCAGCAGCCGCGGUAAU
Molecule: ribosomal RNA, 492 nt
Filed under: uncultured bacterium
Lineage: Bacteria
Description: bacterial SSU rRNA
Rfam family: Bacterial small subunit ribosomal RNA
Source: RNAcentral